This 242-nucleotide long non-coding RNA is filed under the name Cyanistes caeruleus (blue tit). RNAcentral describes it as "lncRNA (ENSCCEG00000011883.1)". Lineage: Eukaryota; Metazoa; Chordata; Aves; Passeriformes; Paridae. The record is from RNAcentral.
AAGCUUUUGGCAGUCCUGGCAUUGGUAGCAGCAAAGUAACUGUGGCACUCCUCAGACACGUGCCUUGCCAGUGUAUUAGAGAGGAACUACACAAGGAGAAGGAUUUGCUCAAAGUAAUGGACUCAAAGCCAGAGGUAACCUGUGCUUCACUCCAGCUCAGAAGGGGAUGAAUCAGGAGCAGGAGGCUGUGUGUAGAACUACAGCAGGCAGCUGACCAGCACUGUGGGGUUUUGACUCCUGAG